UACGUAGGGGGCAAGCGUUGUCCGGAAUCAUUGGGCGUAAAGAGCGCGUAGGCGGCCCUGUAAGUCCGCUGUGAAAGUCAAGGGCUCAACCCUUCGGAUGCCGGUGGGAUACUGCAGGGCUAGAGUCCGGAAGAGGCGAGUGGAAUUCCCGGUGUAGCGGUGAAAUGCGCAGAUAUCGGGAGGAACACCAAUGGCGAAGGCAGCUCGCUGGGACGGUACUGACGCUGAGACGCGAAAGCGUGG
This 243-nucleotide ribosomal RNA is filed under the name uncultured bacterium. RNAcentral's name for it is "partial 16S ribosomal RNA". It matches the Rfam family "Bacterial small subunit ribosomal RNA", at positions 524 to 764 of the family's 1533-position model. The record is from RNAcentral.